CCAUCCCCGCCCCGGGCCCCCGCUGCCAGGGGCCGCCCCCCGCUCCCGCGGCGCCGCCCUCCCUCCGUUCUUCCCUCCGUUCCUCCCUCCGUUCCUCCCUCCCUGCCUCCCUCCCUGCCGCCGCUCCCCCGGACCCCGUGACGGCCCCGUCCCGCCCCGGCAGGCGGGAGCGCGGGUGCGCUCGGUCCCGCUCGGCGCGGAGGAGCCAUGGGCUCGGCGCCGCAGCUCCCGCCGCCACCGCCGCCGCCGCCGCUCGGGGAAUGCGAGCGGGAAGCGGCGGCCGCCCGGCACCGGCGGCGCCCGGAGGAGCAGGUCCAGCAAGAGCAAAGGAGCCACACCACAGAGCCUGUGAUAGAUGACUAUAAAAAGAUGGGGACUCUCUUUGGCGAACUAAACAAAAGCCUUAUCAGAAUAGGCUUCACAAGGAUGUACUUUGGAGAACGGAUAGUAGAACCCGUAAUAAUUAUAUUCUUCUGGGUUAUGCUCUGGUUUCUUGGCCUACAAGCUCUUGGACUGGUGGCUGUUCUGUGCCUUGUCAUUAUUUAUGUACAACAGUAAAAUUUUAUAGAUGCUAUUUGCAUUAUGUAUUUCAACACUGUCACUAUGUCAGUGGAUUUAUGUGUUUAAGUAAAUGGGUGGUACAUCAAAAGCUGCAGUGCUUCAAAUGGCUGAACUUCCGAUGACGGGGACUAAAGUUAUGCAUUUUACACCAAAUCAGCAGUGCCCUACUACAUCUUUUAAGGGGAAAAAAAAGGAUUGGCUUUUCAUUUUCCCCUCCCCUCUCCCCAUGUUCUUGUUUUGUACAGUGAAAAUUUCAUGUCUGGUUUUAAGAGGACACUUGAUGUGUUCUGUUUCACUGCCAGGGGGCUCAUACACUGUUUGUUCCCUGAAUCUGCAUGAUUUGUUAGUGUUUUGCCGAAAAGCUAAAUCUGCACAAGGGAGAUUUGUUAACAAACCUGCAAUGACAAACAUUCACAAGAUGAAUACAAUUUCCAGACACAAAAGCAACUUUGAUUAG
Molecule: long non-coding RNA, 1018 nt
Filed under: Corvus moneduloides (New Caledonian crow)
Lineage: Eukaryota; Metazoa; Chordata; Aves; Passeriformes; Corvidae
Description: lncRNA (ENSCMUG00000019189.1)
Source: RNAcentral